This is a long non-coding RNA of Gopherus evgoodei (Goodes thornscrub tortoise), 964 nucleotides long. RefSeq lists it as uncharacterized. The transcript is spliced from 3 exons. NCBI's taxonomy places the organism in Eukaryota, Metazoa, Chordata, Testudines, Testudinidae. The record is from RefSeq and is a predicted model, not a curated record.
CCUCUAAAGUGCCUGGUGUUUUUACCUUCCAUUCACUGAACUGGAUGUUGAGGUCACUCAGCGCCUUAGAGAAGGGGGCCCAUCAGUGGUACCGCUUUAAUGAAGCCCAUAUCAUGAAAGGAGGAAAAUAUCAGUAUUGUUGCUCUCUGUUCAUGCGAGGAGGACCAGGGGAGUGAGAGGGUGAAGGAAUAAGCCCUCUAACACGUACCAGAAGGCAAGGGAGUCAAACCGUUGAUCUGGUGCUGUAGCGAAGACCUGCUGCUUCUAUAAGGAGCUGGACGCCAUCCUCAGUGUCAAGCCCACAUCCGCCACCAAGAGCCCUGUGAAUACUUUGGCAGGGCUGGAAACUGCAGACUCAACCCCGAAGACAAAGUCGUGGAUGAGAAGGUCGAGUUGGAGGAUGAUAUGGAGCACAUGGCAGGAUCAUGUGGUGGUGCAGUGAGUCAGGAUCUUUUCUUCCACUCUGGAGGAGUCCAGUCAGUCCCAGCAGUCCGUCUCUGGGACACAUGAGGCAGGAGAGGAGAAGUCUGAUGUGGCCUUCAUAGGAACCCUACACACCUGCGGAGCACUUCCGCCAGAUAAGGAGGAGACCAAAGAGGAGCAAAGAGGACAUGUUACCAGAGGUGCUCCAAUCCUCAGAGGCCAAAAAACAGGAAAGCGGGGCGUAGAGAGAAACUUGAAAAGAAAAUGAUGGAAUAGUACAGAAAGGAGGAGCAAACUGAGAUGUUGAAGUCUCUAAUCUAGCUGCAGGCUGAAUUCGUACAUACUCACACCCUCCCUCCCCCUGCAGCUGAUACAGAACUACUUUCCAUGCCAUUUCCAAACUCCUCCCACACAUUCUAUGCAACAUCCCAGCCUGUCUCCGUAUCCUGCUCGCUCUAUCCCUUCGGACAGAUUCCAAAACAAUAGCUGGACUUAACAUGCAGCUAUAAGAGCCUACACUGCCCUUCAUUGUUAUCUCCCU